Molecule: ribosomal RNA, 452 nt
Filed under: uncultured bacterium
Lineage: Bacteria
Description: SSU rRNA
Rfam family: Bacterial small subunit ribosomal RNA
Source: RNAcentral
AGGACAAACGCUGGCGGCGUGCGUAACACAUGCAAGUCGAACGAGCCGGGAGACCGGCGAGUGGCGGACGGGUGAGGAACACGUGGAUAACCGACCCUUGACUGGGGAAUACCAGGACGAAAGUUCUGUUAAUACCGCAUACGCUGGAGACAGGAAAGCUCUUCGGAGCGGUCGAGGACGGGUCUGCGGACGAUUAGCUCGUUGGUGGGGUAACGGCUCACCAAGGCGAUGAUCGUUAGCUGGUCUGAGAGGACGACCAGCCACACUGGGACUGAGACACGGCCCAGACUCCUACGGGAGGCAGCAGUGGGGAAUAUUGGACAAUGGGCGCAAGCCUGAUCCAGCAAUUCCGCGUGGGUGAAGAAGGUCUUCGGAUUGUAAAGCCCUUUCGACGGGACGAUGAUGACGGUACCCGUAGAAGAAGCCCCGGCUAACUUCGCGCCAGCAGCCGC